CGUUGAGGUUUUUUGGAGCAUAUGGGAUGGUUGGGUGUUGUCAUUCAUGAUUGUCGUCGUUUGUCGGCUGUGCGGUUGCUGGCGGGUUCGGUGUUGCUGAUUUUUGGGCUUGGUUGUGGAUUGUUCUGAUGAAUGACCUUGAGGCUAAGUCUAAUCCCGUCAAAAAACAACCUACCAGGCACCAGGAAAAUAUCUUAAUCAAGAGAGUUAAGAGAUGGAUGGACCGAAGCAGGUAUACAAUUAUAAGAGAGGAUAAGACAAAGAAAAUGAUGAUAUUGGAGAGAAGUAAAUACAAUUCUUUUCUUGAGAAUUACAUCAAAGACACUAAACCACCCCUGUUAAAGGAAGCCCCAACCAUGAAAUUAGCAGCACAGCUCAAGGCUUUAUUGAAAUGCAAAGGUUUUCCAGCAUUUUGGAAGCAUAACAAGAUAACAGCACCAGCUUGUCCAAAUAAAAUACACAAAAACCCUAUAUAUCAGCCAGACCUAUUAUAGAAAAAAGAGAUUUGCCAACUUUUAACUUCGAAAAAAUGCUAGUGAAGUGGUGCUCCUCCAUACUAGUCCAGAAUGAACACUCCAUCAAUGCAUGUACCAAAGCACUGAGCAGGAUUCGAGAUACAGAAUGGCAUGUUAAUAACCUUAUAGUUACAUAUGACUUUGAAAGUUUAUACUCUUCACUAGAAAUAGAAGCAACAUGCCUUGCCUUUUAUAAAUUUCUGCUGCUUAACACACCACAAGCCCAUAGCCUAGCACCUAUACUAAGAGAUUUUGUGGAUAUAAUCUGCCAUAGAUCGUCCUUCACUUAGAAAGGUAAAUAUUACAAGCAAAACAUAGGCGUUCCAAUAGGCAGCCACUAGCUGGACCAUUUGCCAAGAUAUUACUAAGACAAGUAGAAUCAAGAGUAUUACAGGACUACAAGCAAGAUCUGAGGUUAUAUGUGCGAUACAUCAACAACAUUUUAACUGUUUGGGACAAUGAAGAUAUGAAAGAGACUUUCCAAUCAGCUUUAACACUCCCAAAAUAUGGCCUUAGUUUAAAAAAGAACAAGAAAGUUAUAAUGAUGCUCAUAUUUAGAUAUAACCCUUAGGAUUGAGCACGCUAAUCUGAAGACAACAGUGUACAGAAACAUGCUAUUCUGUAUCUCCCAUGCACCAGCAAGUGCUCAUCCCUAGAUGGUCCCCAGACCUGUCAUCCUAUAAAAGGGCUGCGUUCAGGUCAUUCUUUAAAAAAGUCUUAAUAUACUGCAUGAAACCCCAAGACCUGAGUGUGGAGAUCGAUUACAUAUAUAACACUGGCUAUUGUCAUGGAUACUCGAGGUCAUUCAUCAGAGCAAUCCAUAGCCAAGUCCAAGGGUCGGUGGCGCCGGGCCCGCUGGCGGCCGCACGGCCGAUGAC
Molecule: long non-coding RNA, 1393 nt
Filed under: Androctonus crassicauda
Lineage: Eukaryota; Metazoa; Arthropoda; Arachnida; Scorpiones; Buthidae
Source: RNAcentral